Molecule: transfer RNA, 74 nt
Filed under: Colletotrichum liriopes
Lineage: Eukaryota; Fungi; Ascomycota; Sordariomycetes; Glomerellales; Glomerellaceae
Description: tRNA-Val
Rfam family: tRNA
About the family: Transfer RNA (tRNA) molecules are approximately 80 nucleotides in length.
Source: RNAcentral
GGUCUGGUGGUGUAGUUGGUUAUCACGUCAGUCUAACACACUGAAGGUCUCCGGUUUAAGUCCGGGCUAGAUCA